CAUCGUCAGCGUUUAUAGUAUUAGUGCUAAUUAUGAUGUGAUUAUAUAUAAUCCUUGUGGUUAUUAUUAUUGCACUUAUGUGUAUUAUUUUAACUAUUUAUGCCGGCGUGCACUUCUCCUCUUGUAGAACGUUGCGACCUGUUAAAUAUUUGUCUAUGAGCUGCAUGGUUGACUUGUGUAUUUUUAAUAUGUGAGACCUGUGGAUUAUCUGACAAACUAUUUGACAGUCUUGAAUAUGGUAUUGAGCCGCAAUAUUAUUUGCGUUAAAUUUAGAUACAAGUUAAGUUAUUUUUAAACAUUGCGGAUAUAUACCGUCGUUUGAAUUAACCAACUGUUAGUAUCUAAAACUUUAACUGGCUUAAUUAUUACCAGUCAGCAAUGCUACUGCUUUGGGUACUUACAGGACCCGUCUUGAAACACGGACCAAGGAGUCUAACAUGUGCGCAAGUCAUUGGGAUUUUUUUUAUAUAAAACAAACCUAAAGGCGUAAUGAAAGUAAAGAUUGUCUUUAAGGCAAUUGAGGGAAGAUGGGUUAUAUCACGAUAUAAUCCCGCAUUCCCAGGACGUCUUAUUCUCAUU
Molecule: ribosomal RNA, 579 nt
Filed under: Bohayella sp. 3 NM-2007
Lineage: Eukaryota; Metazoa; Arthropoda; Insecta; Hymenoptera; Braconidae
Description: eukaryotic LSU rRNA
Source: RNAcentral